AAAGUCCCGCAAGGGAUGAGUAGAGUGGCAAACGGGUGAGUAACACGUGGGUGACCUGCCUUCGAGCGGGGGAUAACGUCCCGAAAGGGACGCUAAUACCGCAUGACAUCCUGCCUUUGAAGAGGCGGAGAUCAAAGCUGGGGAUCGCAAGACCUAGCACUUGAAGAGGGGCCCGCGCCUGAUUAGCUAGUUGGUGGGGUAACGGCUCACCAAGGCAACGAUCAGUAUCCGGCCUGAGAGGGCGGACGGACACACUGGGACUGAGACACGGCCCAGACUCCUACGGGAGGCAGCAGUGGGGAAUUGUUCGCAAUGGGCGCAAGCCUGACGACGCAACGCCGCGUGGAGGAUGAAGACCUUCGGGUCGUAAACUCCUUUCGAUCGAGACGAAUGGCUUCCUGGUGAAUAGCCGGGGAGUAUGACGGUACCGAGAGAAGAAGCCCCGGCUAACUCCGUGCCAGCAGCCGCGGUAAUACGGGGGGGGCAAGCGUUGUUCGGAAUUACUGGGCGUAAAGGGCUCGUAGGCGGCCAACUAAGUCAGACGUGAAAUCCCUCGGCUUAACCGGGGAACUGCAUCUGAUACUGGAUGGCUUGAGAUUGGGAGAGGGAUGCGGAAUUCCAGGUGUAGCGGUGAAAUGCGUAGAUAUCUGGAGGAACACCGGUGGCGAAGGCGGCAUCCUGGACCAACACUGACGCUGAGGAGCGAAAGCCAGGGGAGCAAACGGGAUUAGAUACCCCGGUAGUCCUGGCCCUAAACGAUGAAUGCUUGGUGUGGCGGGUAUCGAUCCCUGCCGUGCCGAAGCUAACGCAUUAAGCAUUCCGCCUGGGGAGUACGGUCGCAAGGCUG
This 847-nucleotide ribosomal RNA is filed under the name uncultured Acidobacteriota bacterium. RNAcentral describes it as "bacterial SSU rRNA". It matches the Rfam family "Bacterial small subunit ribosomal RNA", at positions 71 to 896 of the family's 1533-position model. Lineage: Bacteria; Pseudomonadati; Acidobacteriota. The record is from RNAcentral.